GAAGAAGAAGAAGAGAAGGAAGAGGGAGAGGAAGGAAGAAGGGAAGGAGAGGAAGAAGGGAUGGAGAAGAAGGGGCUACGGCUGCAGCAAUGGCAGCUGCAGUUGGAAGAGAAGAAGGAGAGGAAGAUGAGCAGGGGAGGAAGAAGAGGCUGCGGUCGUGGCUGAGGCUGCGACUGCAGCAGUGCAGCUGGGAAAGAAGAGAAGGAAAGGAAGAAGAAGAGAAAGGAAAAGGGAAGAAGAGAGGAAGAGGAGAAGGGGAGGCAGCUGCGAUAGUGGCAACUGCAAUCGGAAGAGAAGGAGAGGAAAUAGAGCAGGGGAGGAAGAAGAGGCUGCGGUUGUGGUGGCUGCGGCCAUAGCUGCGACUGCGGCUGCGGCUGCAACGUUGGCUGCGGUAGCUGUGGCAGUGGUGGUGGCUGCAGCAACUGCUUUUGGGAAAUAGAAAGAAAGGAAAGGGGAAAAAAAAGGGGGUUCUGGCCGUGAUUGCGGCUGCGGUGUUGGUGGCUGCGUCUACGACAGUUGUAUUUGGGAAAGAAAAAGUAGGAACGAGAGAAGGGAGGAAGGAAGUAGUGUAGGGGAAGGGGCUGCGGUUGUGACAGCAGCUGCGGUCAUGGCUACGAUUGUGGUAGUGGCAGUGGUGAUGGCUGCGAUAGCUGCGUUUGAAAAAGAAAUCGAAGGAAUGAGAGUAAGAGAGAGCAGGUGACUAUGCCUCUAUGUUCUGCAUGAGCUGCAGUUGUGGAGGAAAAAGAGAAGACAUAUGUAGAACACGAAACAGGGAGAGGACACGGAGGAAAAGUAUAAGGAUUUGGGCUGACACCUUCUUUGGAUCUUCGGAUGAAAAUAUUUGAAAGGCAAGUGUUCUGAUCCUUCUUAUUGCAAGCUUUCUAAUCUUUUCUCUUGCAAGUGUUACGAUCCUUCCUAUGACAAGCUUUCUAAUCUUUCCUAUUGCAAGUGUCAUGAUCUUCCUUAUUGCAAUUUUAUCUCUACAUUUGCUUUGAAUAUGAGAAAGUUUGAAUUGUUCUAGUCUUGCAUUUGAUAUAUCUCCUGUUUAAAUGUAACGAUUCAAAUCUGUGCAACUUUUGAGAUUCUGACCUUUCUAUCUUGUUAUGGUUAUAACUUUAUGUAUUAACCUCUGAUUUGAACAAAAUUUAUUUGAUUAGAAUAUAGACUCAUAAACCUUUCUUUUGAUAGUUUAUUUUAAGAGUUCAGAGUUAGUUUGUCUACCCAAACUUCUAUUUCAAAUGAGCCUACAGAUUCUACAAAAUAGGGAUCGUAAUUUCUGACCUUUUGAUACCGAGCUGCCUAUAAGUCGAUGUUGGAAACUCCGAUUUGUUCAAAGCUUAUUUCAUUGGAAACUAGACACGUAGAUCUUUCUUUGAUACCUGGGUUGAAAGAUUUAGAGUCCAAUUACCUGCCCAGUUUUCUGUUGAAACCGACCCUGUGAAUUCUGUAAAAUUGAGAUUUGUUCUUUGAUCUUGGGUUACUAAAUCUAUUGUAACUCUUUGAUGGAAACUUCGAUUCAUACGAGACUUAUUUUAUCGAAAAAUAGAUUGAAAUAUCUUUCCACAAUAGCUUUCUUGAGUAUAUUGGAGCACAAUUGAUAGUUUGAAUCAGUUGUUCAAUGUGCCUCUCGAAUUCUACCAGAAAUCGAGCUUUGGUCGAUUUCACAUAUUAUGGUUUCAUUCAUUUGGAAAUUGAUUUCAUCUAACCUUCUUAUUUGAAUUAAGCUAUAUGUGAUUGCUUGGAAUCCUUGUAUUCUCUUGUCCUUAAAAUUAUUGCAUUCUUGAAAACUAUUGUGUAACGUUUAUGCUAUACUGUAUUGACUCAUAUAGGCACAUGUAUAUCCCAUUGUUCCACAUUUGCUUUUGAUAUUUGCCUAUUCCAGUUUCAUUCUUUUGGAUAUUAAAUUCAUCUAACCUUUAUAUUUGAAUUGAGCUAUAUAUAAUUGAUUGGAAUCUGUGUGUACUCUUGCUUUCAUUUCCUUUCAAAUCUGAAUAUAUUUGUGAAAGAUUAUUGCUUGCAUCGUAUUGACUCAGAAAGGCACAUGUACAUUUCGUUGUUCCGCAUGUGCUUCCGAUAUGUCUCAAUUUAUUGUUCAUACUACCCUUUGUACUCUGGUGUUGUGGGAUAAUAUGAACCUUUACCUGAAAUGGUAAAGGGCAUAUGCUUAGAGCACGCAAAUCUCUAGAUUAUGUUUGGUGGUCAUUCAGAAAUGGAUGGACCAUAUUAUGUUUGGAAUCCCACUUCACCUUCUAUCUAUUUGAUUUGAAAUUCAGAGCUGACCUAGCACUUGGGCAGGGUGAGAGGGCUCGAGUAGGAAAGGACUACCCAUGGAUGUAGUCGAGAACUCAUCACGGCGUGGAGCCACCAUUGAGUUAAACCUCACAUGCACUAUGCUAGGGUACGACGUCUGAGCUUCUGUUUCGUAUUUUGUAUUGAUAUGCUCCAAAAUAUUUCCUAUGCCAUUGAUAUACUUUAAAAUGCUUCACAUACCAUUGAUAUGUUCUGAAAUAUCCUAUUUGCCAUUGAUAUGCUCCGGAACAUCUCGUACGCUAUUGAUAUGCUCCAAUUACUCUACGCUUCAUUUGUUAUGAACCAAAUAUGUUAUGAAUGAAAUGACAUUUGCGAUUCUAUAUAUAAUGAAAUGAUAUCCUUGAAUCUCUUGGAUUCUAUCUUGCAUUGUGAUAUCUUGUUUGUUUGAAACUGUCUCUUCUCGUGCUAGAUAUGCUUUGUCACUUGUUGAGCUGUUUUUAGCUCACUCCAUUGUUAUAUAAAUCUUUCAGGUCAGCUUGUCUCUCUUUGAGAUGUUUGAAAUUGGGCUGAGGCAGUGGAGAGCUAUUCAGAAUUAUGGGCAAGUCUUGUCGGUUAUUAUGUUAUUGUUGUAUAAGCAUAUUUUGUAUGUAAUGAAAUGUUGUCGAUGAACUGAAAUGGAUAUACCUUGUAAAAGUGUUAGAAGAUCUCUCUUAUUUGAAAUUUCGGAAUGUUAAAUCUAGUUUACGAUGAUAUGAACUUGUGGUAAAUGGUUGGAGAUAUGAUUGUAUAAAUUACUUAGCUUGUGGAUUUAUAAAUGUUGUUCAUGUUUGUUAAGUUGGCUUGGGUUGCUAUAAAUGUGAAUUAUCGAGUGAUGUGAUAUAUGAUUAUAAACUGCACAGGUUUUAUAGAUAUGAAUUUGAUAGAAUAUUUUUAAGUGUCCUCAAAUGUUAGUUUGGAUCCUAGAUUAGUUUGUGAUGAAAAUUUUAAUAUUAUCGAUAUUAUUUGAGGGGGUGUGAUAGAGGUGGUAUCAGAGCAUGGUUUAAGGAUUACUGAAAUAUUUGAUAUGUUAACGUGCAAAAUAUAUUGAGGUCUAGUGAAUUAUAAUGAUUGGUGAAAAUUUUCUUUGAUGCAUUUUAGGAAUCUAGGAUGAUGAGGACAUUUGGUUCUCGUAUUUCAUUUGUUUCUGAUUAAUUAAGGGGGAUGAAAGGGUUUAUUGAAGAUACUAAAUCAAAGUAGCACAAUGAAAGCAUGGCAGACCUUGUUUCAUUGGUGGUAGAAAAAUGGAUGAUGCAAACGGAGAAGAUAUAUGAUGUACAAAAUUGUUCUAAUGAUCAAAAGAUUUCUUUUUCCACCUUAUAUUGAAAGUAGAGGCUGAUUAUUAAUGGCAAUAAUGAAAAGAAUUUUUGGAGAUCAGUGGUAAGAAUGAUAAGGACAAGUUUACCAAUAAAAAUAUGAUUGGAAAUGAAUCAGAAAGUGAUAACAAGAGGGUCAAGACAUUUGGAUUUGAAAAGGAAAGUCACCACAAAAGACUUAAUCAUGUAUGAUGCAAGUUAAAUUAUGAAACAAGUUUGUGUUUGUGGGUGACUAGAGUCUAUUUUGCUUAUGGAAAGUUGGAUCAUAAAAUAAAAUACUGCCCUUUGAACAAGAAGAAAGAGUUGCUGCCUCUUAAAUCAUCAGCCUAUGUUAGAGUGUAUGCUAUCACUAAAUAUGAUUCUAAAACUUCUGAAUUAGUAGUCGAAGGUAUUAUGCAUGUUUAUGAAAGAAAUACAAAUAUUUGUUUGACAAUGGGUCCUAUCUACGAUUUGAUUCGUAAUAUUUUGCUUAUCACUUGGGCAUUCAACCUAGACCACUGCAUUAUGUGAUAUAUGUAAAUACAAUCAUUGGAGAUUCUUUGAUAACGGACUUGAAUCUGGUCCUCUUGUCUGAUUUUAUUGGAGAACUUGAACAUUUUGCUGAUUUAGUUCUCCUAGAGAUUUGGAGUUUUGAUAUUAUACUUGGUAUGGAUUGGCUAUCUUCCUAUCAUACCAGUAUGGAUUGGUAUAUAACAAAUGAUUAAUUUUUGCAUAUUUGAUCAGCCGAUCUUUUAUUUUCAGAGUAUGGGACAUGAUUUAUCUCCUUGCCUAAUGUAUCCCAAGAUGACUUGCUUGGAUUACCUCCAAAUGUGACUUUGCUUUUGAUUUGGUCUUUGGGAUAAUCCCAAUAUCUAAGCCUCUCUACAGAAAGAUAUCAUUUGAGUAAGUGGAAUUGGAAAAGCAACUACAAGGAUUAUUAAAUGAGGAUUUUAUUUGGCUUAAUAUUUCAUCAUGGGGUGCUCUGGUGUUAGUUAAAAGGAUGGAUGGAACAUUGAGACUUUACAUUAAUUUUAGACAAUUGAAUCAGGUGACAAAAAAAAAAGAGUAUUUUCUAAAGUAACGACUUGUUUGAUUAACUGCAGGGUACAUAUGUAUUUUCAAAGACUAAUUGAAGGUCGGGUUACCAUUUAUUGAGGAUCAAGGAGGAGAAUAUUUCGAUCACUCUUGGAUAAUUGUGUAAUUGUAUUGUAUUGAUGAAACUAUUUGAGAGCAGGAGGAGGAAAUAAAGAAAUCAUAAUCCUCAUCUUUUCAUCGAUUGAGCUAUGACCAAUUUAGAGGACUAAAUUUUCUUUUAAGGGGGGGAGAGUGUAAUAUCCCUCACAUUUGAAAUUUAUUAAUAAGGAUUUAUUUGUAAAUCGGAGGACCAAUAUGUAAAUAUAGAAAUUUUAAGGACUAAACUGUUAAGUUGUAAAAAAAAAAAACCAAAAAUUUCGGUUUUAUCCCACCGCCCCCCAUGCUCUCUAUUUCCUUAAAACAGAGAGAGGAGCUGUGGGGUGUGGGGAGAAGAAGAAGAGAAGUAGAAGGAGAAGAGAAGAAAAGAAGAAGAAGAGGGAAAAGAAGAGAGGAAGAAGAGGGAGAAGAGAAGAAAAGAAGAAGAAGAAGAGAGGGAAGAGGGAGAGGAAGGAAGGUUCCACGGCUCGUCGCAAUGCCAACAAUGACCCUUUGUUGAUCGGUCACAUAGUUCUUCUCUUGUCAAUUUUUUUGGCCACAAAGGAUGGCUGGGAAUGAAAGGAGGUUUAUAUGCCGCGGGCCUAGGAGAGGUUCUCAUCCUCCGAGCAUCUUGGUUGAGCAAUUCUUCUUGUAUCCGGGCGAAAGAAAUCACAACUGUCACGGUAUGGGCCUGCCGCGCCGUAACCUCCACUUUUAUCUUUGGCUUGAGUCCUUCGAUGAAUGUUCCUAACAAUUGAUGAUUAGUCCAAUCACGAGUAAGGUAGGAUAGCUUCUCAAACUUGGUUUGGUACUCUUGAAUUGUAGAGGUUUGUCAAAUCUUUGCGAGUUGGCUAUCGAUAUUUUUAUACUUUAUAGGUCCGAUAUGAUUCAACAGUGCUUUCUUAAAUUGAUUCCAUGUCGGAGCCCUAUGAUUAUAUUCCAGCCAAUUGUACCAUUCAAUAGCAUCUCCUUCAAGGUGUAUGAUAGCAAUUUCAAUCGUAGCAUCAUCUAACGUUCGGUAGUAGCGAAAGUAAUGUUCGGCGCGUGAAAUCCACCUCGACGGGUCUCCUUCUUCCCAUUGCGGGAAGUCCACCCUAUUGCGUGGCUGAAGCAAGUCCGAGGGCUGUGCCUCCUUCUCUAGAGGCUUCUUUGAACUCUCUCCUCUCUAAAAUUUGGUGGGACUCGACGGUUAUUCAAUUUUGAAUUCUGCAAACAAAAUGCGCAAUUUGUCCUCCAAGCAUAAUUCAAGUAGCGAUUCAAUCCGAGAUUCAAAUGAUUCAAAUUUAGUAUCAAUUGGAUCCUAAGAAGCUAUAGCAUAUGCCUAUAGAUCAAAGAUGUCCCUAUCUUUUUUCUAUUGAUUGGUUAUUAGCAUGGGGUGGUGGAAGGUUCGAAAAAAUUAAGGAUCAUGUAAAGGUACUGUAGCAGAUUUUUACGUCUAAAGUGUAGCAAUUUGGAUGUAAAAGAUCAUUUUGGUUUAUAUUGAGAAUUUUUUUGACGAAAUGAAAGGGAAAUCCACUGUUAGGAAGUGUCAAAGCUAUCGUAAAAAUUUCGUAAAGAUUUUGAUAGAAAAAAUGCAGUAACAAGAUCAAACAAACUGUACUAUGCGGUUGGAAUUUUGUAGUGCAUCUUUCGUCAUAGAGAUGAAAACUUUGCAAUAAAAAAUUUAUGCAGCAAUAUAGGAACAAUUUUUUUCUUUUGGAUUUUUGAAUAAGGAUAACUAAAUUACAACUGUAGUAAGGUAGGGAACCAAAACUUGUUGCAAUUCAUGGGGAGAUUAAAGGAUGAUCCACGGUGGUGGAGAUGAUGGUGAAAUUCGGUGAUGAUCUUUUAAGCAAUUGUGGGAAUUACUUUGGGUGGCUGUAGAGGGCUGAUGGAUGGCUGUGGAAGGCCUGUGGGAUGCCAAGAACGCUGUUUUGAUACCAAGUGUUAGAACCCUUAUGGAUUCUAAGCUUGGGGUUGAUCUCUUUAGAGGAUUGAUCUCCUUAGAACUCUAUAGGGGUUCCUUCCUCCAGGUUGCUGCUCAAACGCUGCUAAAAGGAUUCAUCUAUUCAUUAAGAAAAUAGGAUGAAUACAUGACUAUUUUAGAGCUUCUAAACCCCAACUCCUAAUAGGACUCCUACUCAAGAGUCCCACUUCUAACCAACUCUUAAUGCUUAACCAAGAAGCAACACUUCUGUUUCCUGCAGGCGGAAAUAGAGGAGAGGAGGUGUGGGGCAUUGGGGAGGAGAAGAAGAAGAAGAGGAAAAAGAAGAAGAGAAAAAGAAAAGAAAAAAAAGAAGGAUGGCUACGGCAUGGGCUGUAGUGAGAAGGUGUGGGGUGUCGGGUAGGAGAAGGGAAGAAGAGGAGAAGAAGGAGAAGAAGAAGAAGAGGAAGAGAAGAAGUAGAAGCGGGUGAAGUGGCGGCACCUCUGUUUUCUGCAGGAGGAAACAGAGGAGAGGAGGUGCUGUGNNNNNNNNNNNNNNNNNNNNNNNNNNNNNNNNNNNNNNNNNNNNNNNNNNNNNNNNNNNNNNNNNNNNNNNNNNNNNNNNNNNNNNNNNNNNNNNNNNNNNNNNNNNNNNNNNNNNNNNNNNNNNNNNNNNNNNNNNNNNNNNNNNNNNNNNNNNNNNNNNNNNNNAGAAAAGAAAAAAAAGAAGGAUGGCUACGGCAUGGGCUGUAGUGAGAAGGUGUGGGGUGUCGGGUAGGAGAAGGGAAGAAGAGGAGAAGAAGGAGAAGAAGAAGAAGAGGAAGAGAAGAAGUAGAAGCGGGUGAAGUGGCGGCACCUCUGUUUUCUGCAGGAGGAAACAGAGGAGAGGAGGUGCUGUGCAUCGGGGAGAAGAAGGGGAGGAAGGAGAAGAAGAGAAGAAGAAGAAAGGAAGGAGAAGGAAGAGGAGAAGGGAAAGAAGUAGCAGCGGCUAUGGCUGUGGCAACUGCAGCUGUGGCAGGGAAAGAGGGAGAGGAAGGAAGAAGGGAAGCAGAGGAAGAAGAGAAGGGGAAGAAGGGGCUGCGGCUGCAGCGAUGGCAGCUGCAGUUGGAAGAGAGGAAGGAGAGGAAGAUGAGAAGGGGAGGAAGAAGAGGCUGCGACCGUGGCUUAGGCUGCGACUGCAGUAGUGCAGCUGGGAAAGAAGAGAAGGAAAGGAAGAAGAAGAUAAAGGAAAAGGGAAGAAGAGAGGAAGAGGAGAAGGGGAGGCAGCUGCGGCAGUGGCAGCUGCAGCUGGAAGAGGAGAGGAAACAGAGCAGGGGAGGAAGAAGAGGCUGCG
RNAcentral lists this long non-coding RNA (7987 nucleotides) under Musa acuminata (dwarf banana). RNAcentral describes it as "long non-coding RNA (MACU_LNC001255)". Lineage: Eukaryota; Viridiplantae; Streptophyta; Magnoliopsida; Zingiberales; Musaceae. The record is from RNAcentral.